GAGAGGAAUGUAAGAUAACUUCAGACUCGUUUAGACAGAAGAAGGCACAGCCAGUGCUAAGUCUGGGGCUGUCUUGUGUGUGUGUGUGUGUGUGUGUGUGUGUGUGUGUAUAGUGUGGAGGCCAGUAGGUGGGGCAGUUGUACUCUGAAUGGAGUGUGUGGCAGCAUUGGGGGAAGCAGAGAACAAAGCUGAACACUGAUAGAAGUGUGUGUCCUAGGAUGUAGCUUCUCUGCCUGGCCUGCAACUGCAGCAUGCUCUGGAGAGGAAGGAUGCUCAGUCCAGGGGAGCAGGAGAAGAGGAUGGUGAGAAGCUGCAGAGGCCAGUUGGAUUUGCCAUCUGGAUCUAGAUGCCUGCUCUGUACCAGCGCCACCUGCAGAAAUGAAGCUAUGGCAUUUUAUUGAUGUCAUCUUCAUCAGUGGACCUGGCCAAGACUUUGUGUCAUACACCGCCACAACUAAAACCCAGAGCUUAGGCACCACCUUCUUGAUCCUGAUAAGAACCUGAUGUGGACCAAUGAUUCUGAAACCAUCCUUAGCCCGUGUUCAUCAUCAUCUAGUAUAAGCCAAGAAAGUACCCACCACUUUCUGGAGAAAGAGGUGACCUUAUAUGCCAUCCAUGUACUUUGGUCCACUGAAGACACUGUGGAAGCCAAAAGGUGGACCUAAACCAUUCCCUCAACAGGUCUGUAGCAGUCUCCAGUGUUCAGAGCAAUGGAGUCCGGAUGAGAAGCAAGUCCCUGUGCAUCUAUGGCUCACCAGGAUCCAGCUCUUGAAGGGUGACGACCACAAUUCCACCUGAAAAUUCCACUUUGACAUCUAACCUCUCCUCUGAUGUUCCUGACUUCGCUCUGCACUUCUUUAAUUGGUAAGCAGGAGUGAGAGAGUCGAUUCCUAGGCAGAUUGAUAAGAAGUCCAGGGGUCCCCAAGGAGAGAGG
Molecule: long non-coding RNA, 934 nt
Filed under: Bos indicus x Bos taurus (hybrid cattle)
Lineage: Eukaryota; Metazoa; Chordata; Mammalia; Artiodactyla; Bovidae
Description: lncRNA (ENSBIXG00005018242.1)
Source: RNAcentral